Long non-coding RNA from Ostrea edulis (European flat oyster), 2203 nucleotides. RefSeq lists it as uncharacterized. The transcript is spliced from 2 exons. Lineage: Eukaryota; Metazoa; Mollusca; Bivalvia; Ostreida; Ostreidae. The record is from RefSeq and is a predicted model, not a curated record.
CCAACGAUAAAAAUUGUUGAGUUUCCGCUAACGUUCCAGAAAAAAAUAGGGUAGGUAGGUAGGAAAUAAAUUUUAUUUUUUUUUAAAAUUUUAUUUUUUCAAAGUAUGCAAAAACAUUGAAAACUCUUAACAAGUGUAGUAUAGGAAGGAGGAGAAAAUCUUUGGUUGUACCGGGAAUCGAACCCGGGACCCCUGCAUUACUAGGCAGGUGCUCUAACCACUGAGCUAUCCAGUCCGUAUAGCCCUAAUUACUACAUUCCUCCCUCCUUAAGAUCAAUUAUAAUUGUCUUUCAAUAUCAACCCAGGUUCUUUUCGCCCCUGACAGGCCAACCUGCACCACCAGGGGUGGUCAACGGCACCAAAUGUAGUAUGGGAAGGAGAAAAUCUUUGGCUGGACCCCUGCAUUCCUAGUCAGGUGCUCUAACCACUGAGCUAUCCAGGCCGAUAUCCACGGUCCGUAUAGCCCCAAUUACUGCACAAGUUAAAUGUUCUAUUGAAUGUAAAACUUAUACGGUACCAAUUUUGAUGCACCAGAUGCACAUUUCAACAAAUAAUGUCUCUUCAGUGAUGCUCAACCGAAAUGUUUGAAAUCCGAAAUAACUAUGAAGUUUUAGAGCUAAAUAUAGCCAAAAACAGCGUGCCAAAAAAGUGGAGCCAAAUUCGUCCAAGGAUAAGAGCUAUGCAUGAGGGAGAUAAUCCUUAAUUUUGAAAUGAAUUUCAAAAUUUUAUAACAGCAAUUAAAUAUACAUCCGUAUUUUCAAGCUAGUAACGAAGUACUUAGCUACUGGGCUGUAGAGACCCUCGGGGACUAACAGUCCACCAGCAGAGGCCUCGACCCAGGGGUCAUAAUGUAAAACUUAUACGGUACCAAUUUUGAUGCACCAGAUGCGCAUUUCGACAAAUAAUGUCUCUUCAGUGAUGCUCAACCGAAAUGUUAUACUUUCAAAAUAAAAUUUUGCUUAAAUUGCAUUGCAAAUAAACUUUCAAUCAUAACAUUUCACCCGUUAUUGGCUGAGGAUAUUUCCAGAUGUUUUAUAAGAAACUAUAUUUUUCAAUGAAACAUAUCUAGCAUAAAACACAAAAGUUAACUCCUCUAUGCCACUAUGCUCUACAAGUACCAGAUAUAUUGUUUCUACAUUUAGAUUGGUUGUCAUAGGUCAGGAAUACUUCUAUUGGAUAUGUUUGACAAGAAAAUAAUGUGGUGGUUUUGAAAAAAUAUAUUAAAUCAUCACCAAAAUAUCAACAUCAUUAACAUAUUUUAAGUUUAUUAAUACAUUUCUGAAUGUAUUUUCACUAUCUAAAUGGAACAAGGGUAGGAAGACAGUCUGGGCAGAUCCCACUUAUCCUAAUGGGAUCCAACUCUCUUCCAGCUAAAACUUUUUACCGGACAUAAAUUUUUAUUUUAAAAACAAUCUGCACAUCUUUUUUUCCUCUCGGCUCUCACCAGCCAUCAACCUGGAUGCGCUCACUGCUUUAUUUGCGGUCUUUUUCCAUAGUGUUUUCAGUUAGAACUGCAGCAGAAACCAAGGAUGUGCAUACAAAUUUGACAGACUGGACAUUCAUGUCUGUCACUCUGCAUCAUGACCCCCAUAUAAAACUAGGGUCCCCGUGUAUACACAGUAAUGCCCGCUGAAACGAUAGCAUAAGACAGUGCAUGGCUAUAAAUAGCCACCGUCUAAAAACAACAUAGGAGUUGGCAAUUUUAACAAAAGAAAGUCUUCUAUGAAAACAUGACACUUGGCAGAGUCUCUCGACCGUCUGUUAACUUCAAUUGUUAAAUCACCGUUGCGUGAGCACGCAUGGAGGUACUAGCCACUAGGCACUAUCAAACUUCCGUUAUAUAAGCCGUCUCCUGCAAAGAACGAUAACUCGUGCGUAGGGGCAAUAACCUUUACCGUAUUUCCGGUUGCAAGAACGUCGAGCCCUACUUUCGCUAUAGCCGCGCGCUAUUCUCUCGAGCCCUCUACAGACAAGAAAAUGUCGUGUGAGUCGUAGUCUACAUGCUGUACAAAUUUCAGGAGGAUGAAUGUUCACAGAGUCACUGUCAAUGUCAAUAUAAUAAAGGGAGGUGAUUGCAGCUUUGAAGUUUUCUUUGGGAUGAGACUUGGAAUUAAUGGGAAUUUUCACUCCACAGAGCCUACACAUACACUUUAACUUUAAUUCAUGCUCCAUUUCUGUAGAAAAAAUAAAGUUUUGAAUAGAU